This 372-nucleotide long non-coding RNA is filed under the name Elaeis guineensis (African oil palm). RNAcentral's name for it is "long non-coding RNA (EGUI_LNC047399)". The record is from RNAcentral. Lineage: Eukaryota; Viridiplantae; Streptophyta; Magnoliopsida; Arecales; Arecaceae.
GGACAGAAAUGACAAUCAUUAAGAACAACGGUAUGUGACUCAAAUACAAGUUUCAAAAUUUUUAAUGCUAGAACUAGAACUGAUCUUCCAUCUCCAACAUUCAGAAACCUCUCGCCUUGCUCGAAUCUCCUACUGACCUGCAAUCUCAGUAAUGAAUUGCAAAUAUGGUAAGGGAUAUCAGUAUCCAAUAUCCAGUCAGUUAUAUCAUAAAUAGAGAAAUUGUAAGGAGUUAUCAUAUAAAUACCUUGCCCAGCAAUAGUUUGCUUCUUUCUCUGCUUGUUCGGAUUCAGGGAGGCAAUAUACUAAGGACAGUUCCUCUUUUAGUUCCCCGCUUCUUGCAAAAGAAGCAUUCAGCUUGACUCUUAUCGGGCU